Molecule: ribosomal RNA, 253 nt
Filed under: uncultured bacterium
Lineage: Bacteria
Description: partial 16S ribosomal RNA
Rfam family: Bacterial small subunit ribosomal RNA
Source: RNAcentral
GACGUAGGUGGCGAACGUUAUCCGGAAUUAUUGGGCGUAAAGGAUGCGUAGAUGGUGUAGUAAGUUAUCGGUGGCAAAUCGAGGCUCAACCUCGUGGAAGUCGGUAAUACUGCUAUGCUAGAGGAUAGGAGAGGUUAACGGAACUCCCUGUGGAGCGGUGAAAUGCGCAGAUAUCAGGAGGAACACCGGUGGCGAAGGCGGGUCUCUGGGCAAUAACUGACGCUGAGGAGCGAAAGCGUGGGGAGCGAACAGG